AAAUUUCGAGCUUCGAAUUUAGGCUGGUGUACAUUUUGCAUAUAGAUGGAUGAUGAGGUAUUAAGAGAUGAGUAUGAGGAAGAAGCUGAAUGUUUGGAGGAUGACGAAGUGAGAAAUGGAAAUAAGAGGAAAAGAAAAAGUUCGAAAAGAGUGGGUAAUAAGGUAAAUGUUGUAUGAUUUGAAAAGUUGUAUAGUAAUUUUUUGAAAUGUAAUUGUAAAUAAUGAAGUGUGGUUGGAAGUUAAUAUAUUUUGGUGAUCAAAGUUCUUUUGGUACAAUGAAGUACUCGUUUUUGUAAAUUGUCAAUGAAAUACUUGAUUUUGUGAAUUGUCAAUGAAGUAUUCGGUUUUGUAAAUUGUCAAUGAAGUAUUCGGUUUUGUAAAUUGUCAAUGAAGUACUCUAUUUGCUAUACUCUAGUACAAUGAAGUACUCGAUUUUGUAAAUUGUCAAUGAUCGGACAAUAUUGAAUAUAUCUUUGCGUAUUUUAUGUU
Beta vulgaris subsp. vulgaris (sugar beet) is the source of this 489-nucleotide long non-coding RNA. RefSeq lists it as uncharacterized. The record is from RefSeq and is a predicted model, not a curated record. NCBI's taxonomy places the organism in Eukaryota, Viridiplantae, Streptophyta, Magnoliopsida, Caryophyllales, Amaranthaceae. The transcript has 3 exons.